GAGGGUAUAGCUCAGUGGUAGAGUCCGUGCUUAGCAUGCAUGAGGUCCUGGGUUCAAUCCCCAGUACUUCCU
This 72-nucleotide transfer RNA is filed under the name Camelus bactrianus (Bactrian camel). It matches the Rfam family "tRNA". From Rfam's summary of the family: Transfer RNA (tRNA) molecules are approximately 80 nucleotides in length. RNAcentral also lists the same sequence under 1 other name. Lineage: Eukaryota; Metazoa; Chordata; Mammalia; Artiodactyla; Camelidae. The record is from Rfam by way of RNAcentral.